AGGGAUAUAACUCAGC
Molecule: transfer RNA, 16 nt
Filed under: Agropyron cristatum
Lineage: Eukaryota; Viridiplantae; Streptophyta; Magnoliopsida; Poales; Poaceae
Description: partial tRNA-Val
Source: RNAcentral